UACAGAGGGUGCAAGCGUUGUUCGGAAUCACUGGGCGUAAAGAGCGCGCAGGCGGCUGGUCAAGUCCGAUGUGAAAUCUCCCGGCUCAACUGGGAAACUGCAUCGGAAACUGAUCGGCUUGAAGAUGGGAGAGGGUAGUGGAAUUCCCGGUGUAGUGGUGAAAUGCGUAGAUAUCGGGAGGAACACCGGUGGCGAAGGCGGGUCUCUGGGCCGAUACUGACGCUGAGGAGCGAAAGCGUGGGGAGCGAACAGG
RNAcentral lists this ribosomal RNA (253 nucleotides) under uncultured bacterium. Its description in RNAcentral is "partial 16S ribosomal RNA". It matches the Rfam family "Bacterial small subunit ribosomal RNA", at positions 524 to 776 of the family's 1533-position model. The record is from RNAcentral.